Molecule: ribosomal RNA, 440 nt
Filed under: uncultured bacterium
Lineage: Bacteria
Description: partial 16S ribosomal RNA
Rfam family: Bacterial small subunit ribosomal RNA
Source: RNAcentral
CCUACGGGGGGCUGCAGUGGGGGAUAUUGCACAAUGGGGGAAACCCUGAUGCAGCGACGCCGCGUGGGUGAAGAAGCGCCUCGGCGCGUAAAGCCCUGUCAGCAGGGAAGAAAAUGACGGUACCUGAAGAAGAAGCCCCGGCUAACUACGUGCCAGCAGCCGCGGUAAUACGUAGGGGGCAAGCGUUAUCCGGAUUUACUGGGGGUAAAGGGGGCGCAAACGGCGAUGCAAGCCAGGAGUGAAAGCCCGGGGCCCAACCACGGGACUGCUCUUGGAACUGCGUUGCUAGAGUGCAGGAGGGGCAGGCGGAAUUCCUGGUGUAGCGGUGAAAUGCGUAGAUAUCAGGAGGAACACCGGUGGCGAAGGCGGCCUGCUGGACUGCAACUGACGUUGAGGCCCGAAAGCGUGGGGAGCAAACAGGAUUAGAUACCCUAGUAGUC